Molecule: ribosomal RNA, 254 nt
Filed under: uncultured bacterium
Lineage: Bacteria
Description: partial small subunit ribosomal RNA
Rfam family: Bacterial small subunit ribosomal RNA
Source: RNAcentral
AGGACGAACGCUGGCGGCGUGCUUAACACAUGCAAGUCACGGGGGCCCGCAAGGGCAACCGGCGAACGGGUGCGUAACACGUGAGCAACCUACCGAUUUGUGGGGGAUAGCCGGCCCAACGGCCGGGUAAUACCGCAUACGCUUGUCUGGUCUCCUGACUGGGCAAGGAAACCUCCGGGGCAAAUCGAGGGGCUCGCGUCCUAUCAGCUAGUUGGCGAGGUCACGGCUCACCAAGGCGACGACGGGUAGCUGGU